RNAcentral lists this ribosomal RNA (410 nucleotides) under uncultured Actinomycetes bacterium. RNAcentral's name for it is "bacterial SSU rRNA". It matches the Rfam family "Bacterial small subunit ribosomal RNA", at positions 9 to 416 of the family's 1533-position model. The record is from RNAcentral. Lineage: Bacteria; Bacillati; Actinomycetota; Actinomycetes.
GAGUUUGAUCAUGGCUCAGGACGAACGCUGGCGGCACGCUUAACACAUGCAAGUCGAACGAGAACCUCGGAGCUUGCUCCGAGGGGACAGUGGCGAACGGGUGAGUAACACGUGAGGAACCUGCCCCGAAGACCGGGACAACACCGGGAAACCGGUGCUAAUACCGGAUGCCCUCACCGGACCGCAUGAUCCGGUGAGGAAAUGGAUUCCGCUUCGGGAUGGUCUCGCGGCCUAUCAGCUUGUUGGUGGGGUAACGGCCUACCAAGGCUUCGACGGGUAGCUGGUCUGAGAGGAUGUCCAGCCACACUGGGACUGAGACACGGCCCAGACUCCUACGGGAGGCAGCAGUGGGGAAUCUUGCGCAAUGGGCGAAAGCCUGACGCAGCGAUGCCGCGUGCGGGAUGAAGGCC